GGGUUGUGGCUCAGUGGUAGAGCACUUGCCUAGCAUGUGUGAGGUACUGGGUUCGAUUCUCAGCACUGCCUA
This 72-nucleotide transfer RNA is filed under the name Marmota monax (woodchuck). RNAcentral's name for it is "tRNA.Ala". It matches the Rfam family "tRNA". Rfam says of the family: Transfer RNA (tRNA) molecules are approximately 80 nucleotides in length. Their secondary structure includes four short double-helical elements and three loops (D, anti-codon, and T loops). Further hydrogen bonds mediate the characteristic L-shaped molecular structure. tRNAs have two regions of fundamental functional importance: the anti-codon, which is responsible for specific mRNA codon recognition, and the 3' end, to which the tRNAs corresponding amino acid is attached (by aminoacyl-tRNA synthetases). tRNAs cope with the degeneracy of the genetic code in two manners: having more than one tRNA (with a specific anti-codon) for a particular amino acid; and 'wobble' base-pairing, i.e. permitting non-standard base-pairing at the 3rd anti-codon position. The record is from RNAcentral. Lineage: Eukaryota; Metazoa; Chordata; Mammalia; Rodentia; Sciuridae.